Molecule: long non-coding RNA, 218 nt
Organism: Amphiprion ocellaris (clown anemonefish)
Lineage: Eukaryota; Metazoa; Chordata; Actinopteri; Pomacentridae
Exons: 2
Source: RefSeq, a predicted model, not a curated record
CAAUCCAGCUUCAGCACCAGAGACGGCAGGCGGGACGAGUCAACGGAGGCCGGGUGGACGAAGGCAUGCAGCUGAGUACAAUCCAGAAAACAACAGAGGAGGAGUGCAGCAGCCCAGUGCCAGAACACACAGAAUAGCAUCACCAAAGAACUACAGACUCUUCACAACCUGCUCAAACUCUUGGUACAGUACCUCACCACACGGGUCAAGAAGGUUUC